Molecule: ribosomal RNA, 515 nt
Filed under: uncultured bacterium
Lineage: Bacteria
Description: bacterial SSU rRNA
Rfam family: Bacterial small subunit ribosomal RNA
Source: RNAcentral
AGAGUUUGAUCAUGGCUCAGGACGAACGCUGGCGGCGUGCUUAACACAUGCAAGUCGAACGAUGAACUCCCAGCUUGCUGGGGGGGAUUAGUGGCGAACGGGUGAGUAACACGUGAGUAACCUGCCCUGGACUCUGGGAUAACCCCGAGAAAUCGGAGCUAAUACCGGAUAGGACCCUGUACCGCAUGGUGUGGGGUGGAAAGUUUUUUCGGUCUGGGAUGGACUCGCGGCCUAUCAGCUUGUUGGUGAGGUAAUGGCUCACCAAGGCGUCGACGGGUAGCCGGCCUGAGAGGGUGACCGGCCACACUGGGACUGAGACACGGCCCAGACUCCUACGGGAGGCAGCAGUGGGGAAUAUUGCACAAUGGGCGCAAGCCUGAUGCAGCAACGCCGCGUGCGGGAUGACGGCCUUCGGGUUGUAAACCGCUUUUAGUAAGGAAGAAGGGGAGCUUGCUCCUUGACGGUACUUGCAGAAAAAGGACCGGCUAACUACGUGCCAGCAGCCGCGGUAAUAC